This 497-nucleotide ribosomal RNA is filed under the name uncultured bacterium. RNAcentral describes it as "partial 16S ribosomal RNA". It matches the Rfam family "Bacterial small subunit ribosomal RNA", at positions 28 to 507 of the family's 1533-position model. The record is from RNAcentral.
GAUGAACGCUGGCGGCGUGCCUAAUACAUGCAAGUCGAGCGAACAGAUAAGGAGCUUGCUCCUUUGACGUUAGCGGCGGACGGGUGAGUAACACGUGGAUAACCUACCUAUAAGACUGGGAUAACUUCGGGAAACCGGAGCUAAUACCGGAUAACAUAUUGAACCGCAUGGUUCAAUAGUGAAAGGCGGCUUUGCUGUCACUUAUAGAUGGAUCCGCGCCGUAUUAGCUAGUUGGUAAGGUAAUGGCUUACCAAGGCAACGAUACGUAGCCGACCUGAGAGGGUGAUCGGCCACACUGGAACUGAGACAUGGUCCAGACUCCUACGGGAGGCAGCAGUAGGGAAUCUUCCGCAAUGGGCGAAAGCCUGACGGAGCAACGCCGCGUGAGUGAUGAAGGUCUUCGGAUCGUAAAACUCUGUUAUCAGGGAAGAACAAAUGUGUAAGUAACUGUGCACAUCUUGACGGUACCUGAUCAGAAAGCCACGGCUAACUACGUG